This 497-nucleotide ribosomal RNA is filed under the name uncultured bacterium. RNAcentral describes it as "partial 16S ribosomal RNA". It matches the Rfam family "Bacterial small subunit ribosomal RNA", at positions 28 to 507 of the family's 1533-position model. The record is from RNAcentral.
GAUGAACGCUGGCGGCGUGCCUAAUACAUGCAAGUCGAGCGAACGGACGAGAAGCUUGCUUUUCUGAUGUUAGCGGCGGACGGGUGAGUAACACGUGGAUAACCUACCUAUAAGACUGGGAUAACUUCGGGAAACCGGAGCUAAUACCGGAUAAUAUUUUGAACCGCAUGGUUCAAAAGUGACAGACGGUCUUGCUGUCACUUAUAGAUGGAUCCGCGCUGCAUUAGCUAGUUGGUAAGGUAACGGCUUACCAAGGCAACGAUGCAUAGCCGACCUGAGAGGGUGAUCGGCCACGCUGGAAGUUGGACACGGCCCAGACUCCUACGGGAGGCAGCAGUACGGACUCUGCCGCAGCGGGCGAAAGCCUUACGGAGCAACGCCGCGUGAGUGAUGAAGGUCUUCGGAUCGUAAAACUCUGUUAUUAGGGAAGAACAUAUGUGUAAGUAACUGUGCACAUCUUGACGGUACCUAAUCAGAAAGCCACGGCUAACUACGUG